UCCCAGGCUAGGAGGUCAAAUGGAGCUGCAGCCGCUGCCCUACACCACAGCCACAGUGACUCCAGAUUGGAGCUGAGUCUGUGACACAGCUCACUGCAACGCCAGGAUCCCUGACCCACUGAGUAAGGCCAGGGAUAGAACCUGCAUCCUCAUGGAUACUAGUCAGGUUGGUUACUGCUGAGCCAUGAUGGGAAUGCCCACGGUUUGUUUUUUUUGGCGGGGGUUGGGGGGUGUGUGCCCAUGGCUUGUUGAAGUUCUCAGGCUAGGGGUCGAAUAGGAGCCAUAGACACCGGCCCACACCAGAGCCACAGCAACUCCGGAUCAGAGCUGAGUCUGCAACCUACACCAUAGCUCAUAGCAACGCCAGAUCCUUAACCCACUGAGCAAGGCCAGGGUUCAAACCUGCAACCUCAUGGUUCCUAGUCAGAUUCAUUAACCACUGAGCCACAACAGGAACUCCCAUGUUGUUUCAUUCUUGUUGUACCUGUUCUGCUUAUAUCUGGAAUGUUUUUCUUCUACCUAGUAAACUUCUUCCUUCCUCUCUACCCUAGGCAAAGGAGUGUAGUACCUUUUUUUUUUUUUUUUUAAAAGUACUUGUUGAAUUUUUUCUUGAGCAUCAGAGGACAAGAACCAUUUAAUUUAUGGCAUCCCUAGUACAUAGCACAGUGCUUGGCACUUAGUAGCUACUCUGCAGAACUGAAUGAAAAUAAUAAGAAAAAAUUGUUCAGGCCCUCCCCUACCAAGCCAAAGCAGUCAUGGUCCUGAGUGAUUUAUGGAAAUCUACUGAAGAUCAUUUACUUGUGACUGAUAGAGUUUAGUUUUUUCCUUUUCCUUUUUUACGGUCACACCUGCACCAUAGGGAAGUUCCCAGGCGCAGGGUCAAAGCAGAGCUUCAGCUACCAGCCUACACCACAGCCACAGUAUGGCGGGAUCUGAACUGUGUCUGUGGCCUGUACCGCAACUCAUGGCAAUGCCAGAUCCCCUACCCACUAAGCAAGGCCAGGGAUUGAAUCUUCAUCCUCAUGAAUACAAGUCAGGCCUGGUACUGCUGAGCCACAACAGGGACCUCCCCUAUUAUGUCUUAUAGUAUGGAUGUACUCUACAUAACUUAUUCAUUUGUUUUCCUGUGGAUAUUUAGGCAUUUUCUAGAUUUUUUCCCCUACAAACAGUGCUGUAUAUAGUAAAAGUCCCUGUGCAUGUUACCUUCUUUCCUGAUGCUUUUAUUUUUCUACAGAGUAGACUCUCCAAGGUGGGAUUUCUGAGUUAAAGGAAUUAUAUUUUAAAUGUUAUUAUUGCUGGAUUACUCUCUAAGAAGGUUGUUGUAAUUUCUACCUCCACUAGCAGUCGGAUCUCCAUAACAUCACAUCAUUAGAUGUAAUUACUUAAUUUAGUUUUUGCUGGUCUACUAGUUGAUAAGAGGUUUCUCAGUUUUGUCUUAAUUUUAAUUUCCCUGAGUAUUGCUGGAGCUAGCCUCUUUUGAUAUGUUUUUUGACCAUUUGGAUUUCCUUUCCUGAGAAUUGUUCAUGUUUUUGGUUCAUUUUUCUUUUAUGUUGUUUUUUUCCUUAUUUUGUAGGAACAUGUUAUGGUAUCUUACUUCUUACACAUGUAUUUUUUAAUCUGGAAUUUACUUUUAUAUGGGAUGAAGUAGGGGGUCUUAAAUGGUUUUCCUUUGUGUAGAGAGCCAGCUAUGUCCAGAGUAAAUAAAUGUCCUUUCCUCAAUGAAUUAAAUGCUGCUUUAUCAUACGUUAAGUUCAUAUAUGUGUUCGCUCUAUUUCUGGAUGUUCUGUUUUACUCUUCCUGUAUCAUUAUUUUACUGUUUUUUUGAGUAUAAUAGCUUUAUUGAAAGUUACACUCUGUUAAGAACAGCUCCUGUCACUGUACUUUUCCAUUUUUUUUGCCUUUUUUUUUUUCUUUUUCUUUUUAGGUCCGCACCUGCGGCAUAUGGAGGUUACCAGGCUGUGGGUCAAAUUGGAGCUGCAGCUGCUGGCCUACGCCUCAGUAACACCAGAUUCACAACCCACUGAGUGAGGCCAGGGAUGGAACCCUUAUCCUCAUGGCUACCAGUUGGGUUCGUCACCACUGAGCCACAUGCGAACUCCUUGACUGUUCUUAAACAUUCUUAUAUCUGUAUUGUUUGAAAACAAUUCUGUUGACUUCAGAAAACCUUAAAGAAGCCCAGUGUUUGGAAUGGCACUAUAUUCAUAUGUUAAUGUUGGCAGGCCUGACUUUCUUUUUCUUUUUUGGUCUUUUUGCCAUUUCUUGG
This 2263-nucleotide long non-coding RNA is filed under the name Sus scrofa (pig). RNAcentral describes it as "lncRNA (ENSSSCG00045023491.1)". The record is from RNAcentral. Lineage: Eukaryota; Metazoa; Chordata; Mammalia; Artiodactyla; Suidae.